GACGAACCGUGCGAACGUUGUUCGGAAUCACUGGGCUUAAAGGGCGCGUAGGCGGGCUUUUAAGCCAGACGUGAAAUCCCCGGGCUUAACCUGGGAAUGGCGUUUGGGACUGGGAGUCUGGAGUGCGGCAGAGGAGACUGGAAUUCCUGGUGUAGCAGUGAAAUGCGUAGAUAUCAGGAGGAACACCGAUGGCGAAGGCGACUACCUGGCCUGUUUCUUGACGCUGAGGCGCGAAAGCUAGGGGAGCAAACGGG
RNAcentral lists this ribosomal RNA (254 nucleotides) under uncultured bacterium. RNAcentral's name for it is "partial 16S ribosomal RNA". It matches the Rfam family "Bacterial small subunit ribosomal RNA", at positions 524 to 776 of the family's 1533-position model. The record is from RNAcentral.